This 460-nucleotide ribosomal RNA is filed under the name uncultured bacterium. RNAcentral describes it as "partial 16S ribosomal RNA". It matches the Rfam family "Bacterial small subunit ribosomal RNA", at positions 338 to 795 of the family's 1533-position model. The record is from RNAcentral.
CCUACGGGAGGCAGCAGUGAGGAAUAUUGGUCAAUGGGCGGGAGCCUGAACCAGCCAAGUCGCGUGAGGGAAGACGGUCCUAUGGAUCGUAAACCUCUUUAGGCGGGGAGCAAUGCCGGGCACGUGUGCCCGGAGGGAGAGUACGCGCAGAAUAAGCAUCGGCUAACUCCGGGCAAGCAGCCGCGGUAAUACGGAGGCCGCGAGCGUUAGCCGGAUUUAUUGGGUUUAAAGGGUGCGUAGGCGGACUUUUAAGUCAGCGGUAAAAUGUCCGGGCUCAACCCGGCCCGGCCGUUGAAACUGGGGAUCUUGAGUGGGCGAGAAGUAGGCGGAAUGCGUGGUGUAGCGGUGAAAUGCAUAGAUAUCACGCAGAACUCCGAUUGCGAAGGCAGCAUACCGGCGCCCGACUGACGCUGAGGCACGAAGGCGUGGGGAUCGAACAGGAUUAGAUACCCCAGUAGUC